Molecule: ribosomal RNA, 253 nt
Filed under: uncultured bacterium
Lineage: Bacteria
Description: partial 16S ribosomal RNA
Rfam family: Bacterial small subunit ribosomal RNA
Source: RNAcentral
UACGUAGGGGGCUAGCGUUGUCCGGAAUCAUUGGGCGUAAAGCGCGCGUAGGCGGCCAGAUAAGUCCGGUGUGAAAGCCACAGGCUCAACCUGUGAAUGCCGCUGGAAACUGUCUGGCUAGAGUCCGGGAGGGGCGAGUGGAAUUCCUGGUGUAGCGGUGAAAUGCGCAGAUAUCAGGAGGAACACCAAUGGCGAAGGCAGCUCGCUGGAACGGAACUGACGCUGAGACGCGAAAGCGUGGGGAGCGAACAGG